CCCCAGACUGACCUGGUGUUCAUCUUGUGUGUCUGGAAGCCCAGAUAAGGGUCGAGGAUGAGGGUCAGGUUUAAGGUUAGGGUUAAGGCCCCAGACUGACCUGGUGUUCAUCUUGUGUGUCUGGAAGCCCAGAUAAGGGUCGAGGAUGAGGGUCAGGUUUAAGGUUAGGGUUAAGGCCCCAGACUGACCUGGUGUUCAUCUUGUGUGUCUGGAAGCCCAGAUAAGGGUCGAGGAUGAGGGUCAGGGUCAGGUUUAAGGUUAGGGUUAAGGCCCCAGACUGACCUGGUGUUCAUCUUGUGUGUCUGGAAGCCCAGAUAAGGGUUGAGGAUGAGGGUCAGGUUUAAGGUUAGGGUUAAGGCCCCAGACUGACCUGGUGUUCAUCUUGUGUGUCUGGAAGCCCAGAUAAGGGUCGAGGAUGAGGGUCAGGUUUAAGGUUAGGGUUAAGGCCCCAGACUGACCUGGUGUUCAUCUUGUGUGUCUGGAAGCCCAGAUAAGGGUCGAGGAUGAG
Molecule: long non-coding RNA, 508 nt
Organism: Oncorhynchus keta (chum salmon)
Lineage: Eukaryota; Metazoa; Chordata; Actinopteri; Salmoniformes; Salmonidae
Exons: 3
Source: RefSeq, a predicted model, not a curated record